RNAcentral lists this ribosomal RNA (489 nucleotides) under Shigella sp. FC1139. Its description in RNAcentral is "bacterial LSU rRNA". It matches the Rfam family "Bacterial large subunit ribosomal RNA", at positions 1 to 520 of the family's 2925-position model. Lineage: Bacteria; Pseudomonadati; Pseudomonadota; Gammaproteobacteria; Enterobacterales; Enterobacteriaceae. The record is from RNAcentral.
GGGUUGUGAGGUUAAGCGACUAAGCGUACACGGUGGAUGCCCUGGCAGUCAGAGGCGAUGAAGGACGUGCUAAUCUGCGAUAAGCGUCGGUAAGGUGAUAUGAACCGUUAUAACCGGCGAUUUCCGAAUGGGGAAACCCAGUGUGAUUCGUCACACUAUCAUUAACUGAAUCCAUAGGUUAAUGAGGCGAACCGGGGGAACUGAAACAUCUAAGUACCCCGAGGAAAAGAAAUCAACCGAGAUUCCCCCAGUAGCGGCGAGCGAACGGGGAGCAGCCCAGAGCCUGAAUCAGUGUGUGUGUUAGUGGAAGCGUCUGGAAAGGCGUGCGAUACAGGGUGACAGCCCCGUACACAAAAAUGCACAUACUGUGAGCUCGAUGAGUAGGGCGGGACACGUGGUAUCCUGUCUGAAUAUGGGGGGACCAUCCUCCAAGGCUAAAUACUCCUGACUGACCGAUAGUGAACCAGUACCGUGAGGGAAAGGCGAAAA